AAGGAAAGGCUUACGUGAUACCUAGCACCCAGAGACGAGAAGGCGUAGUAAGCGACGAAAUGCUUCGGGAUGAAAAUAAGCGUAGAUCCGGAGAUCCCGAAUAGGUCAACCUUCGAACGCUGCGAAUCCAUGGGCAGGCAAGAGACAACCUGGCGAACUGAAAACAUCUUAGUAGCCAGAGAAAAGAAAGCAAAGCGAUUCCCGUAGUAGCGGCGAGCGAAAUGGGAGCAGCCUAAACGUGAAAACGGGGUUGUGGGAGAGCGAUAACAAGCGUCGUGCUGCUAGGCGAAAGCGGUGGAGUCUGCACCCUAGAUGGCGAGAGCCAGUACCGAAAGCAUCACUAGCUUACGCCUGACCCGAGUACAUGGGCACGUGGAAUCCCGUGUGAAUCAGCAAGGAACCACCUUGCAAGGCUAAAUACUCCUGGUGACCGAUAGCGAAGUAGUACCUGGUGAGGGAAGGUGAAAAGAACCCCCAACGGGGAGUGAAAUAGAACAUGAAACCGUAAGCUCCCAAGCAGUGGAGGACCCGGGCUCUGACCGCGUGCCUGUGAAGAAUGAGCCGGCGACUCAUAGGCAGGCUGGUUAAGGAACCACCGGAGCCGUAGCGAAAGCGAGUCUUCAAUGGGCAAAUUGUCACUGCUUAUGGACCCGAACCUGGGUAUCUAUCCAUGACCAGGAUGAAGCUUGGGUGAAACUAAUGUGGAGUCCGAACCGACUGAUGUGAAGAAUCAGCGGAUGAGUUGUGGUUAGGGUGAAAACCACUCGAACCCAGAGCUAGCUGUCCCCCGAAAUGCGUUGAGGCGCAGCAGUUGAACUGGACAUCUAGGGGUAAAGCACGUUUCGGUGCGGGCCGCGAAGCGGUACCCAAAUCGAGGCAAACUCUGAAUACUAGAUAUGACCUCAAAAUAAUAGGGGUCAAGGUCGGCCAGUGAGACGAUGGGGAAAAGCUUCAAUCGUCGAGAGAAACAGCCCGAUCACCAGCUAAGCCCCUAAAUGACCGCUCAGAAAAAGGAGGUAGGUGCAGAACAGCGAGGUUGCCUAGAAGCAGCCACCCUGAAAGAGUGGCAAUAGCCACUGAUCGAGCGCUCUUGCGCCGAAGAUGAACGGGCUAAGCGAUCUGCCGGAAGCUGUGGGAUGUAAAAAUGCAUCGGUAGGGAGCGUUCCGCCUAGGGGAAAGCAACCGCGCGAGCGGGCGUGGACGAAGCGGAAGCGAGAAUGUCGGCUGAGUAACGCAAACAUUGUGAGAAUCCAAUGCCCGAAAACCCAAGGUCCUCCGCAAGGUUCGUCCACGGAGGGGAUCAGGCCUAAGAUAGGCCGAAAGCGUAGUCGAUGGACAACAGGGAAUAUUCCUGUACUACCCCUUGUUGGUCCCGAGGACGAGGAGCAGUUAGCCGAAAGAUGGUUAUCGGUUCAAGGACGCAAGGUGCCCCUGCUUUUCAGGGAAGAAGGGAGAGAAAAUGCCCCGAGCCAAUGUCGAGUACCAGGCGCUACGGCGCUGAAGUAACCCAUGCUAUACUCCCAGGAAAAGCUCGAACGACCUUCAACAAAAGGUACCUGUACCCGAAACCGACACAGGUGGUAGGUAGAGAAUACCUAGGGCGCGAGACAACUCUCUCUAAGAACUCGCAAAAAUAGCCCCGUAACUUCGGAGAAGGGGGCCUCCUCACAAAGGGUCGCAGUGACCAGCCCGGCGACUGUUUACCAAAAAACACAGUCUCCGCAAAGUCGUAAGACCAUGUAUGGGGGCUGACGCCUGCCCAUGCCGGAAGGUCAAGGAAUUGGUGACCUGAUGACAGGGACCGGCGACCGAAGCCCCGGUGAACGGCGGCCGAACUAAACGGUCCUAAGCGAGCGAAAUUCCUUGUCGGGUAAGUUCCGACCCGCACGAAAGCGUAACGAUCUGGGCACUGUCUCGGAGAGAGCUCGGUGAAAUAGACAUGCUGUGAAGAUCGGACUACCUGCACCUGGACAGAAAGACCCUAUGAAAGCUCACUGUUCCCUGGAUGGCUUUGGGCUUUUCCUGCGCAGCUUAGUGGAAGGCGAAGAAGGCCUCCUUCCGGGGGGCCCGAGCCAUCAGUGAGAUACCCACUCUGGAAGAGCUAGAAUCAACCUUGGUCAGACCUACGGGCCAAGGGACAGUCCAGGUAGACAGUUUCAGGGCGUAGGCCUCCCAAAAGUAACGGAGGACGUCAAAGGUUCCUCGGGCCGGACGGAGAUGGCCCCGAGUGCAAAGGCAGAAGGAGCUGACUGCAAGACCCACCCGUCGAGCAGGGACGAAAGUCGCCUUAGUGAUCCGACGUGCCGAGUGGAAGGGCCGUCGCUCAACGAUAAAAGUUACUCUAGGGAAACAGGCUGAUCUUCCCAAGAGCUCACAUCGACGGGAAGGUUGGCACCUCGAGUCGGCUCUCGCCACCUGGGCUGUAGUAGUCCAAGGGUUGGGCUGUUCGCCCAUUAAAGCGGUACGUGAGCUGGGUUCAGAACGUCGUGAGACAGUUCGGUCCAUAUCCGGUGUGGGCGUUAGAGCAUUGAGAGGACUUUCCCUAGUACGAAGGACCGGGAAGACGCACCUCUGGGUACCAGUUACGUGCCCACGGUAAACGCUGGGUAGCCAAGGCGGAGCGGAUAACGCUGAAAGCAUCUAAGUAGUAAGCCCACCCCAAGAUAGCCUCCUACCGACUUCCCCAGAGCCUACGUAGCACAGCCGAGACAGCGACGUUCUCUGCCCCUGCGGGAGGAGCGACAGAAGUUUUGAGAAUUCAAGAGAAGUCACGGCGAGACGAGCCGUUAUCAUACGAUAGGUGUCAAGUGGAAGUGCAGUGAUGUAUGCAGCUGAGCAUCCUAACAGACCGGUAGACUGAACC
RNAcentral lists this ribosomal RNA (2863 nucleotides) under Citrus maxima (pomelo). RNAcentral describes it as "bacterial LSU rRNA". It matches the Rfam family "Bacterial large subunit ribosomal RNA". The record is from RNAcentral. Lineage: Eukaryota; Viridiplantae; Streptophyta; Magnoliopsida; Sapindales; Rutaceae.